This is a long non-coding RNA of Oxyura jamaicensis (ruddy duck), 1416 nucleotides long. RefSeq lists it as uncharacterized. NCBI's taxonomy places the organism in Eukaryota, Metazoa, Chordata, Aves, Anseriformes, Anatidae. The transcript has 6 exons. The record is from RefSeq and is a predicted model, not a curated record.
GUACUGCAGCACCUUGUAUUGGAGCAAGGAAGGCACUGAGGCUUGAACUAAAGCUCUAAAGCACUUUGCUGUGUCAUCUAUCUUCAUUGUCCCUUCUGGGAGCCAGAGAAACAGAGGACACACCCGGUAUGGGAACCAAAACCACCUAGCAACAGUAGCCUGCACGAGGGCUAGAAAUGCUCUGCCAUUUCAUUUAUCUUCUCCGCCCCUCCUGGCAACAGGAGAGACAGCAGCUGAAGGCACAGCCCAUCCGGAAACCAGAGACACGCAGCAGUGGACUCUGAGUAACAGCCUGAAAGAAAGCCAUCCCAUCCAUCUCCUGCUUCCUGUCUGCAGCGCUGCACCUGGCACAGGAAUCAGUUAGGUAAACAAAUGCCAUCACAGCUCUGAAAAAUGACGUCAGCUCCCUGUGCUGAUGAGAAAUGCAGUCGGCCUCCUCGUACCACAGUGCAGUUUGUGCUUCCCACUACCAUGUGAGCCAGGCCCAUUAGCUACAACCUCACCUCACUGCAAGCACGCGCCUAUAUAAAUACACCCCAUUCGCAGAGUGUCAAAAAUCGAGACUGGGUGCAAUCCUGACAUUGGUACCUGGAGAUGAGGCAUCAAACAUCUCAUUAUACAGUUUUGGUGGGAGAAGAGAAAUGUAUUUCCCCCCGACUUCUUAUUAAAAGCAUCUCGGUCUACUCAGGCAGAUCAGCAGGUACAAGGUCUAACCACCUGGCACUUCAUUUAUUAUUGGAAUGUGCAAACUGGGAGGAUGCAGCUUCUAGAAAUUCUCACAGAGGAAAUAUAAGGAAAUGUUGGUUCUUGCCAAGAAAAAAGGUUAGUCAGCUGAAAACAAAGUUCUCCCGGCUGUGCCCUCACAUGUUGCUGCUUGUGCUGCUGAAGCACCUGUGCUCCGAGACACCAGAACCUUCCGGAGGGAAGCGGCUGUUGCCUCCGCACCCUUUCCCUGGCUCUAUGGUGAGACCCACGGAGCCCCUCACACACUUCUGCUGCUGGCAUAACUGCUAGAAGGACCUGCCUAGAUGUGCUGUGCAAAAGAUGCUGAGGGCAGCUUCUUCAUUAUCAGAAGAAAUUUCCCACAGAAAUGCAAACUGAAACAGACCUUUUGGAAAAGGGUAAUGCAGUCUUCAUAAUGAUCAUUACUUUGACUAUGAGAAUAAGCAAACUGUUAUGGCUGAUCAGCCAUUUAAAGAGUUCUGUAAGGAUAAAAUCAUUCUUCACCUUCAUUCCAUGCUUCCAUCCCAACACAAGCAUUAAGAGUGGGUUAACCAAGGCUGUUUCACCCACCUCUAAGAACACGCCCUGCUACUCUCAGAUUUCAAACAGGCCUGGCUUUUCACUUUUCCUAGACUGCUCAGUAACUGUAUUCCAUACAACCUCUUUACUAGAAACAUUGAUAUGCACGUAAAU